This 63-nucleotide transfer RNA is filed under the name Hodotermopsis sjostedti. Its description in RNAcentral is "tRNA-Asp". Lineage: Eukaryota; Metazoa; Arthropoda; Insecta; Blattodea; Termopsidae. The record is from RNAcentral.
AAAGGAUUAGUUAAGAAUAAUACUAACUUGUCAAGUUAGAGUCAUCAUAAAUGAUAUCCUUUU